Molecule: small nucleolar RNA, 72 nt
Organism: Erinaceus europaeus (western European hedgehog)
Lineage: Eukaryota; Metazoa; Chordata; Mammalia; Eulipotyphla; Erinaceidae
Source: Ensembl
CCUUCACUGAUGAAUUAUAUUCUGACUUUCGUUCUUCUGAGUUUGCUGAAGCCAGAUGUGAUUCUGAGGAGG